AUACGUAGGUGACAAGCGUUAUCCGGAUUUACUGGGUGUAAAGGGCGUGUAGGCGGUUUAGCAAGUCAGAAGUGAAAUUCCCGGGCUUAACUUGGGCGCUGCUUCUGAAACUGCUUUACUUGAGUGCUGGAGAGGAUAGUGGAAUUCCUAGUGUAGCGGUAAAAUGCGCAGAUAUUAGGAGGAACACCGGUGGCGAAGGCGGCUAUCUGGACAGUAACUGACGCUGAGGCGCGAAAGCACGGGGAGCAAACAGGAUUGGAUACCCUGGUAGUCCGUGCCGUAAACGAUGAAUACUAGGUGUAGGGGGUAUCGACUCCCUCUGUGCCGCAGUUAACACAUUAAGUAUUCCACCUGGGGAGUACGGCCGCAAGGUUGAAACUCAAAUGAAUUGACGGGG
Molecule: ribosomal RNA, 397 nt
Filed under: uncultured bacterium
Lineage: Bacteria
Description: partial 16S ribosomal RNA
Rfam family: Bacterial small subunit ribosomal RNA
Source: RNAcentral